Molecule: ribosomal RNA, 397 nt
Filed under: uncultured bacterium
Lineage: Bacteria
Description: partial 16S ribosomal RNA
Rfam family: Bacterial small subunit ribosomal RNA
Source: RNAcentral
AUACGUAGGUGACAAGCGUUAUCCGGAUUUACUGGGUGUAAAGGGCGUGUAGGCGGUUUAGCAAGUCAGAAGUGAAAUUCCCGGGCUUAACUUGGGCGCUGCUUCUGAAACUGCUUUACUUGAGUGCUGGAGAGGAUAGUGGAAUUCCUAGUGUAGCGGUAAAAUGCGCAGAGAUUAGGAGGAACACCGGUGGCGAAGGCGGCUAUCUGGACAGUAACUGACGCUGAGGCGCGAAAGCACGGGGAGCAAACAGGAUUAGAUACCCUGGUAGUCCGUGCCGUAAACGAUGAAUACUAGGUGUAGGGGGUAUCGACUCCCUCUGUGCCGCAGUUAACACAUUAAGUAUUCCACCUGGGGAGUACGGCCGCAAGGUUGAAACUCAAAUGAAUUGACGGGG